UGGGGUGGCCUGUCCGGGGUGGCCUAUCCGGAAAGCCCAGGGGGUGGCCCAUCUGGGGUGGCCUAUCUGGUGUGGCCCGUCCGGGUGGUCCGUCCGGGGAGGCCCGUGGUGCAGCCACAGCACACAGCGCGCCCAGGGCGGCCCCUCACAGCAGACGCCGUGGUGCUGGGGGAAAGGCCACGGGUGAGAUCACUGCAGGGAGGUGAACGGUGACACAGAGAUGCUGAGAUGCUGACUGAGGUUUCCUCUGGGGGCGGGAUGGGGUCUUCCUCUCCCUACCUUUGCUGGCUGGCAAGCUCUCUCCAGCGGGCACGUGGCGGCUUGGUAGGCCUGCGGCCUCGUCCUGUGUCUGUCACAGACGGUUCUUCGUGUACCCUCCCGCUAUUCCAUAAGCAGACGAAAAGGUAAAAUAAGAGACUUAAAAGGUGAUGCUGGUGCUUUUGAUCCCUAAUCAAAGGCAUGUCUCUUGGCUUCACUGUCCCCAGCCGGUGACAUGUUCCCAGAAUUUCAAGCUUCCCCAGGAGCGGGUGCAGGUGGGGACACGGGCCAGGCGGGAGUGGGGAUGCUUUGGAGAGCACCAGGAGUCGGGUCCCGUGUCCCCCGGCUGCUGGGAGCUGCCCACUCAGCCCCAAACCAGACCUCCCCCUAAGGCUGGGGACAUCCCCCACUUCACUGGCCCUGGAUGCUCAUGUGGCCUCAGGCCACUGUUUACUUCUCUGAACCUUACAGGGGAGACCCCAUGAUGGAGCCCUGUCCCUGAGCCUGGGUGCUGAGGAGCGCUGACCUGUGACCCUGGUGGCUAAGCGUCCUGGAGUAGGAGGGGCCAGCCUGCACGCAGCCCCCACAACAAGCCCGGAUGCAGAUGCCGUUAUCCCAUUUUACGGACGAGGAAACUGAGGCCCAGAGGUGGUACAGCCGGUGGGUGGAGGGGAGGGCUUGAGACCCUAGAGGCCCCCAGAGUGUUCUCACGUGGUGGCUGUGAGCGGGUGGGGGUCCCCAGCUCCACACUGGUGCGGGCCGUGCUCACAGGACGGGAAUCGGGGCCACCAUCAGAGCCCAGACUUCGGACCAGCCCGGGGGGAGUCAGGGUGGCCAGAGUCGCUGUGCCGGGUGGGGCCGGGGGCUGCACUGGUAGCUCCCGGGGAGGAGACGACAGGGUGGCUGACGUGCCCCGGAAGGACCGAGGGCCAGGGAGGGCCAUGGGUGUCAGCAGGGGGAGCCGUCUGACAGUGGCCAGGCUGCGGUGUGCCCAACGUCCCCCGAGGCGCUUGGCCUUGACUCGGGGCCCGUGGGAACCUGGGGCGGGUCCGGAGGCCAGAGACCUGAGACGGACCGUCGUGGGGGGAGCCGGAAGCUGCAGCCUGGUCACCGUGGGCUCUGGGCCAGGCUCCACACGUGGCGGUCCGUCUGGCUCCACGGGUCGGAGGGAGGCUGUGGGGCGCUGUACUCGGGGUCUUGGCCGGGAAGCUGUCCUUCUAACGUGGAGCCACUUCCCAUCCACCACCGCCUGGCAGCGAGGGGACACGAGACUGCUGCCUCACCCCGCGGCCGUGUUCGCCGUCACAGACACUUAGGACACAGGAAAGAUUCAGAAGAGAAGAGGGGAGGAGAAAGAUGGAAACGAGGGGGGAUGGGGACAGAGAGACAGAGAGAGACAGGGAGAGACAGAUGACAGAGACAGAGAAGGAGAGACAGGGAGAGAGAAAGAUGAAGAGAGACAGAGGGAGGGGGGGAAAGGGGGGCGGCUGAGACACCCCUGUUCCCCCUCACCGUGUGAGUCGUUGCCCUUUGACGCCUCCGCGCACCUGCUCUGAGCCUCCAGAGAGCGGGCAUGGGGUGACCGGCCUGUGGGGGGGGGGGGUGUUGUGUAACAGGGUUCUGGCCCCAGCGACACGGGGAGCUCCUGCAGGCGGUCCUGUGUCAGGUUUCCUUGACCCGGGGCUCACCUCUCCCCUGUGGCCACUGGCCCGGGUGCCCGGCUCCCCCACUGGGGCGCAGCUCCCCCUUCGGCACCGUGCACAAUGCCACCGAGGCCAGCGAGGCAGAGUCACCGGCCUCAGCGGGGCCAGGUGGGGUCUUCGAGGCCACCCCGGGCGAGGGACAGGAAGCCACCAACACGAGGUCUGCUUGCACUGCCUGCCCUCGCCCUGGGUGUCUAAAACACGUCCACGGACGACCUCAGAAGCUCCUUCUCCUUAAAAGCUUCCAGUCAUGUUUGAAAAUGGCAGUGUUUAUUUCUCUGCCAUUCUUACGCUUUCCAGAAAUUGUUUAAAACACAUGUUCUGAUAGAAUGGUUGUGGAUGACCUUUGCCUUCCUUCCCUCUACACUGGGCUCCUGGCCCAGCCCAGCCAGGGGUGGAGGGGGCACCUGACUCCUGGCAGACGGGCCCCAGGGGCAGCACGAGCCCGUGGUCACACAGACGACAGGCAGGGAGAUGCUCGCCCUCGCCCUGCAACGUCAGGGAAGUAGUGAAGGCAGCAUCACAAGUGCUGGGCCUGCAACCGUGUCCUCCCCCGCUGGCCUGCAGCCUGACGGCGGCCAGAGAACUAACUCAUGGCACAAACCAGAUUCUCAGAUCCCAUCACUAGAUCAGACCUGGGCAGCUGCUCUCUCCUUCACAGACUUGAUUCUUCUGGAAAGUGGCUUGGGAUACUCUUGGCCUUCUCCACAGGGUUCCUGCCUCAUGGUCAAAGCGCAGCUGCCACAGCUCCAGGCAUCACGUCUGUGUGCAGGCCAGGAAAAACAGGGAGGAGCCACUAGCCAUAGGUACUCCCAUUUUUCCUGAAAGCAAAAGCCCUGAAUGUCCCCAGCAGACGGCUUGCUAGCCCCCAGGGCCACUCGUCACUUCGAGAGACGCUGGGAAAUGCGGUACAGAAUCUACGCAGUCUUGACCCAUCGCCUGGGCUGAGUAUGUUGUCCCUGGAGCAGACACUUCCACUGCAUAUCCAUGCUUUCUCUCCUGACUUUUAGUAACAGAACCCCCUCCAUUUUACCUGGAUUGCCCCCAAUAAAGACCCAUCUCCCCAUUUCCUUUGCGGUGUAAACAUUAGUAGCAGGAAACGGCACAAGCUGGAGUCAGGAGGCCCCACCAGUGGGGGUCGGUCGCGACCUCGCGGCCGCCAGCAGCUCCGCCAAUGAGAAGCCACCACACUCCCGGUGUCCUCCAAUGGACGUUGAGUUCAUAACGACCUUCCCAAGCCACCGCUUCUCUCCUUAAAAAAGCGCACCUGUCCCUCGUUGCCCAGACUCGCCUACGGUUUUGCCGCCGCGUGUCGUCCUGGGUUCAAUUCUCUUUUGUUUCCGAAUCAGCCCUUGUUUGGCUGGUAAAGUAACGGGCGGUUUUACUUGCAAGGUUGACAAUGGCAGGCGUGCCCACGUGACCCCCCCCCCCCCCCCCCCCCGGGCUAGAUGGGAGCUGGCGGAGCCUCCGCGAGGCCUGGACGCAGGCCCGUCCGCCCGUCUGCCCUGCAGCAGAGGGGACGCCACCCCAAGGCCAUCCCCGACCUGCCCAAGGACUUCAGCAUCUCCUCUGGCAAGACGGAUGUUCCCUUCCAGAUAAUUGUAUCCGGUGUUUGGCCCGGUCCUCCUCAGUAGCAUGUGGCCUCACUGACAUAAUCUGAAAAACCAGACUGGACUUUGCAGGGAGACAACUCGAGAUUCCUGGUCACAUUUCGCAGGUUCAAAAGAGCAAAGUGGCUCCCCACUGUUCUGACAACUUUAGAGCCGUGGUUUCCAAUUCGGCCAUGAGAAAGUCUGCUGGGACGUACGUUCCCCACAACAGACAUUGAAGUUCUAAAAUCUUUUGGUUAGGUUUUCCUCCCGAGGGAAGAGAAAAGUCCCUAAAGAGCACCGUUUCCACAGGAACAGCCUGUUCCAAAAAAAAUCCCGCCCAAAGCCAGCACAUUUCCAGUUAGGAACAGGUUGUCUCCAAAAAGGAGUCGACCAGAAAGAAGACUUAAAACAGAUCCCGACUAGGCCCCGGGGAGCUCAGAGGGCAGGAAUGCCGGAGACACCACCCUCAAACCCCAGGGGGGUCAGCCGGCCCCGCGGGCACCGCACCUGCUGCCUCUCCGGCCUUGGGCGGUUGAGCGCCUUCUCCGGAUCCCGCUUCUCUGGCACCAGGGGGUGUUGGCCUUUUGCCACAGGUAUUUUACCGCGGAAAUGGAUUUAUUUGGGAGGAACGGAGGACUGCAACCUGGGAUUGCAAGCCACCGCAGAAACCGUGUGGUCGGCGUGGGUGCGUAGUUUUCCAAGUCCACGCCUUGUCCGUUGUUUUCUUGACGGGGCCUUUGAUGAGCAGGCGGUUUCACAAAAGUGCAACGUAACCGCUUUUAUGAUCAUCGCUUUUGGCAUCUCGUCCAGGGGGCCUCUUCCCGAGGUCGCUGAGGUCGGCUCACCGUCUCCCGGCUCCGGACACCCUUCGGUACCUGCUGUGGGCAUGUUUCUCCUUCGGGAAGAGCCAGGUGUCAGGUUCCCCACACGAGGCCUCGGUGUGCGUCCCGAUGCACCAGCUCGCCCAGCGCCUGGCUGCCAGGCACGGCGCCCGCCCGGGGGGCAGCCGCACACCAGCCUGGCGCUGGCGAAACAGCAGACUUCCUGCGGUCCACCACCCCCGGGGAGACCCCCCGCCUCCAGGCUGGCCCUCCCUACGCCCUGGGGUUUCCUGCGGCCUCUUACGUCCUCUCCGUGAUUUCUCAGUUGUGGUACGGGUGCCCCCUAAUGUCCCAGGCAGGACGCUGACUGACGCAGUCGCAGAGGUACUCUUCCAGAAGGUCUGUGACCAACUGCAACACGAUGUAUGGCUCAUCCCUAUCUGCAUCUGUGGCUGUGUCUGUAUCUAAUCCAGCUGUGGACACCUACCUAUUUCCUAAAAACAUGGUAACCGUCGGGGUGCCUGGGCGGCUCAGGCGGUUAAGCCUGGGACUCCAGCUCAGGUCAUGAGCUUGUGGUCCGUGAGUUCGAGCCCGGUGUUGGGC
Leopardus geoffroyi (Geoffroy's cat) is the source of this 4977-nucleotide RNA transcript. RefSeq lists it as uncharacterized. Lineage: Eukaryota; Metazoa; Chordata; Mammalia; Carnivora; Felidae. The transcript has 6 exons. The record is from RefSeq and is a predicted model, not a curated record.